AUUGAACGCUGGCGGCAGGCCUAACACAUGCAAGUCGAGCGGGGUUUUCGGACCUAGCGGCGGACGGGUGAGUAAUGCGUAGGAAGCUACCCGAUAGAGGGGGAUACCAGUUGGAAACGACUGUUAAUACCGCAUAAUGUCUACGGACCAAAGUGUGGGACCUUCGGGCCACAUGCUAUCGGAUGCGCCUACGUGGGAUUAGCUAGUUGGUGGGGUAAUGGCUCACCAAGGCGACGAUCCCUAGCUGGUUUGAGAGGAUGAUCAGCCACACUGGAACUGAGACACGGUCCAGACUCCUACGGGAGGCAGCAGUGGGGAAUAUUGGACAAUGGGCGCAAGCCUGAUCCAGCCAUGCCGCGUGUGUGAAGAAGGUCUUCGGAUUGUAAAGC
This 389-nucleotide ribosomal RNA is filed under the name uncultured bacterium. Its description in RNAcentral is "bacterial SSU rRNA". It matches the Rfam family "Bacterial small subunit ribosomal RNA", at positions 30 to 431 of the family's 1533-position model. The record is from RNAcentral.